UCCAGACUCCUACGGGAGGCAGCAGUGGGGGAUAUUGCACAAUGGGGGGAACCCUGAUGCAGCGACGCCGCGUGGGUGAAGGAGCGUUUCGGCGCGUAAAGCCCUAUCGGCAGGGAAGAAGGAGGACGGUACCUGACUAAGAAGCCCCGGCUAACUACGUGCCAGCAGCCGCGGUAAUACGUAGGGGGCAAGCGUUAUCCGGAUUUACUGGGUGUAAAGGGGGCGCAGACGGCAGCGCAAGCCAGGAGUGAAAGCCCGGGGCCCAACCCCGGGACUGCUCUUGGAACUGCGCGGCUGGAGUGCAGGAGGGGCAGGCGGAAUUCCUGGUGUAGCGGUGAAAUGCGUAGAUAUCAGGCGGAACGCCGGUGGCGAAGGCGGCCUGCUGGACUGCGACUGACGUUGAGGCCCGAGAGCGUGGGGAGCAAACAGGAUUAGAGACCCUCGUAC
RNAcentral lists this ribosomal RNA (447 nucleotides) under uncultured bacterium. RNAcentral describes it as "bacterial SSU rRNA". It matches the Rfam family "Bacterial small subunit ribosomal RNA", at positions 330 to 793 of the family's 1533-position model. The record is from RNAcentral.